AUUGAACGCUGGCGGAAUGCUUUACACAUGCAAGUCGAGCGGCAGCGCGGGGCAACCUGGCGGCGAGCGGCGAACGGGUGAGUAAUGCAUCGGAACGUACCCAGUCGUGGGGGAUAACUGUCCGAAAGGACAGCUAAUACCGCAUACGUCCUGAGGGAGAAAGCGGGGGAGUCGCAAGACCUCGCGCGAUUGGAGCGGCCGAUGCCGGAUUAGCUAGUUGGUAGGGUAAAGGCCUACCAAGGCGACGAUCCGUAGCUGGUCUGAGAGGACGACCAGCCACACUGGAACUGAGACACGGUCCAGACUCCUACGGGAGGCAGCAGUGGGGGAAUUUUUGGACAAUGGGGGGCGAACCCUGAUCCAGCCAUUCCGCGUGAGUGAAGAAGGCC
RNAcentral lists this ribosomal RNA (389 nucleotides) under uncultured bacterium. RNAcentral's name for it is "bacterial SSU rRNA". It matches the Rfam family "Bacterial small subunit ribosomal RNA", at positions 29 to 416 of the family's 1533-position model. The record is from RNAcentral.